Molecule: transfer RNA, 103 nt
Filed under: Xylaria sp. FL1777
Lineage: Eukaryota; Fungi; Ascomycota; Sordariomycetes; Xylariales; Xylariaceae
Also listed under: 1 other name
Description: tRNA-Met
Rfam family: tRNA
About the family: Transfer RNA (tRNA) molecules are approximately 80 nucleotides in length.
Source: RNAcentral
GUCUUCGUGGCUCAGUUGGCUAGAGCGUUGGUCUCAUAUUCUAUAUGAUCCAAUCCAAGAUUGGGAUAUCCAAAGGUCGUGAGUUCGAGCCUCACCGAGGACA